CAACGCGAAGAACCUUACCAAGUCUUGACAUCCUUCUGAAAGGCCCGUAACGGGGUCCGGCCUUCGGGACAGAAGAGACAGGUGGUGCAUGGUUGUCGUCAGCUCGUGUCGUGAGAUGUUGGGUUAAGUCCCGCAACGAGCGCAACCCCUAUCCCCAGUAGCCAGCAGUAAGAUGGGCACUCUGUGGAGACUGCCAGGGAGAACCUGGAGGAAGGCGGGGAUGACGUCAAAUCAUCAUGCCCCUUAUGAUUUGGGCUACACACGUGCUACAAU
Molecule: ribosomal RNA, 273 nt
Filed under: uncultured bacterium
Lineage: Bacteria
Description: partial 16S ribosomal RNA
Rfam family: Bacterial small subunit ribosomal RNA
Source: RNAcentral